This 465-nucleotide ribosomal RNA is filed under the name Vreelandella stevensii. Its description in RNAcentral is "partial 16S ribosomal RNA". It matches the Rfam family "Bacterial small subunit ribosomal RNA", at positions 338 to 795 of the family's 1533-position model. The record is from RNAcentral. Lineage: Bacteria; Pseudomonadati; Pseudomonadota; Gammaproteobacteria; Oceanospirillales; Halomonadaceae.
CCUAAGGGAGGCAGCAGUGGGGAAUAUUGGACAAUGGGGGGAACCCUGAUCCAGCCAUGCCGCGUGUGUGAAGAAGGCCCUCGGGUUGUAAAGCACUUUCAGUGAGGAAGAACGCCUGGUGGUUAAUACCCAUCAGGAAAGACAUCACUCACAGAAGAAGCACCGGCUAACUCCGUGCCAGCAGCCGCGGUAAUACGGAGGGUGCGAGCGUUAAUCGGAAUUACUGGGCGUAAAGCGCGCGUAGGUGGCUUGAUAAGCCGGUUGUGAAAGCCCCGGGCUCAACCUGGGAACGGCAUCCGGAACUGUCAAGCUAGAGUGCAGGAGAGGAAGGUAGAAUUCCCGGUGUAGCGGUGAAAUGCGUAGAGAUCGGGAGGAAUACCAGUGGCGAAGGCGGCCUUCUGGACUGACACUGACACUGAGGUGCGAAAGCGUGGGUAGCAAACAGGAUUAGAUACCCUGGUAGUC